AUGAUCCAAUAUGCUGAAAAACACCAAGUGGAAAUUGCAUGGCUGUUUGACUUAGCAUGCCCGGAUGUUGCCAAGAGGCAAGGAUUGUUCAAAGCAACACCAACACAUUUUAUUCUUCAUGACAUGCACAUACAUCUUUCUCUGGAGCGCAUUGCCAACAUGCCUGAUUACCAACGCUACUGUACCACCGUUGCUUCAGUGUGUAGCCUCAUCUCUGAGUACGAUGUGAUCCACACCUAUUGUUUACUUGAUAUUAUUGGUCACAGGUCUUUGUUUGCUGCUUUCUUGGCAUUGCCGUGGGAUCCUGGACAGCAAACAAAUGCUGGUGCCAAAUACCUAGCUAGCAUUGAUAUAACUGCAGCUAUUUGUGUUCGACCUCUCAGUUGUUCAUGGACUUCAGUUGAGUUGAAAGCCUGGUCUCCAUCGUUGUUCCAGGUCAACAUUACAUGUGGCUGA
This 456-nucleotide ribosomal RNA is filed under the name Triticum aestivum (bread wheat). RNAcentral describes it as "partial small subunit ribosomal RNA". The record is from RNAcentral. Lineage: Eukaryota; Viridiplantae; Streptophyta; Magnoliopsida; Poales; Poaceae.